This 2627-nucleotide long non-coding RNA is filed under the name Canis lupus familiaris (dog). RNAcentral's name for it is "lncRNA (ENSCAFG00845018451.1)". The record is from RNAcentral. Lineage: Eukaryota; Metazoa; Chordata; Mammalia; Carnivora; Canidae.
GGGACGCAGCCUCGCUCGUGACUACGGAGGGCAAGGAGAGAAGGGAAGGUGAUAAAAUGUAGAGCAGCCCUAACCUCGGUGAGGCACGACGGGAGUUGUAGUUCUCCCGCCUCGCGGCUCCGUUUAGGGGCGGAGCCCAGCGCGCAGCCUAGGCGGGGCCACGUGCGGCGGCGCUCUGCUCCGAGGUCGCUGCUCGCUCUGCAGGGAUGGGGUUGCUGCGGCUCCGUGCUUCUGGCGGCGCGCACCGGAGACCCCCCCCCCCCCGCCCCUUGCAUCGUGGACUCCAUUAACGUGAAACGGAGACUUUUAGAGCAAACAGGACUGACCGCGGCUUCCCGAGUACUUUCUCUGAGGCAUGUUCCGAGCUACGUGCUCUGAGUUCUUAACUACAUUCAUUUAAUCCUGCGAAGUCGGAAUUAUUUAGCCUCAUGUUACAGAUGAGGACACUGCAUGCCAACAAACAAGGCUCUGUAAGGACGUCAUCGUGGGGGGCGGGGCGGGGAGGGGGAAUCUGUUCAAAUCAGAAAGGAUUCUGAAGAAGGGGCACUAUUCCCCAGGUGGAAUUAUUUCUCUUUGGUUAGUGAUGCUGCAGAGUACCGGCUGCUUUGCAGUGUUUUGCAUUCUUCCUGGUGGAUUAAUUUGUUGUUUAUGUGUCUGUCUGCCUUUUGUAAGUUCCUGGAAGUUGGAACCCGGUUUUGUUCCUCUUUUCAGGAUGCUACUCCUUCUUCGGUCUAUACACAUUUAUCAAGCACUGAAGGAGGGUAGAGAUAGUGCUGGUGCUGAGGGGUCAGUGGUGAACACAUGCAGCAGACCAAUAGAAGGGCAAUGAGAAUAACUGUUAAAUGCUAAGAUAAAGUUAGUUCUGUGCAAACACCCAUGCCUGAGUAAAGGGGGGGGGGGGCAGUUCAGAGAAAACUGUGGUCUCAGGGACUACAGACAGUUUAAGGUGGUGGCUACAGUGGGGAGUGCUGGGAGAUGAAUCUGGAGCAGAGGCUGCCAAACUUUUUCUAUAAAGGGCCAAAGAGUAAAGAUUAUAGGGUUUUGUGGAUCAUACUGUCUUGGUCACAGCUACUCAACUUGAAGCUCAAAAGAAGCCAUAGAUAGUAUGAAUGGGUGGAGCUGUGUUCCAAUAAAGUUUUUUUUUUUUUUUUAUGGACAUUGAGGUUUGGAUUUCAUGUAGUGUUCACUGUCAUGAAAUAUUAUUCAUAUUUUGGUUUUGCAACCAUUUAAAAAUGUAAAAGCUUUACAUUGCAAACUACAUUAAAACAGGCAGGAGGCAGGAUUUGGCUGGCUGGUGGUGUGUCCUCUUCUGAUCAGAAAGCCAAAAUGGGGCCUGAGGACCUGUGUUAAACAAUUCAGGCUUUGUCUGGAGGACUGGGUGGAGUCAUAGGUAGGUUUUAAGCAAGGAUAGGGCAUGCAUGGGAAAAAUGAGUUUUAGAAAAGAACUCUAGCUGUUACAUGUUAAAAGAAUUGUAGAUGUCACAGGUGAAGACCAGAGAGGAGUCUUUUGAUGAUAGCUUAAGCUAAAGUAAUCGCAGUGCAAUGGACAAAUUCAAGAGGUAAUGGAAGUAGAACUGAUAGGAUUCAGAGGUUGGUGGGGGUGAGGGAAAGUGAAUGGUCAAAACUAACUUCUAAGCUUUGGGUUCAGAGAAUUAGGUGGCAUAUGGUGGUGCCAUUUAUUGCACUAAGAGGAUUGCAGGAGUUUUUUUGAAGAGGAGAGUAUUUAAAUGUCAGCCUUGUGGCUUUUGAAGUAUCUAUGGAAAAUGUAGGCCUGGAACUAUAGACUGCUAAUUGUGCUGGUUUGUUUGAAAGAAGAGAUUGAGUAGUCAUGAUGAUACAUACAUUUACUUAUUAAUACAGUAACAUUUUUGGGAAGAGUCAUCUGCUGUUCUGGGAGCCAGUUAGACCUUGGAAGACCAUAGGAGAGUUCGACAGAACAAAUAAGGGUAGGACUUCAUGGUCUUUCCUACUGUUGAGUGCUGCACAGCUGUACCUUGGGGGUCUUCCCACUGAUUACUUGAUUCUUCAAGACUAGGAAAAUACAGAUCAUUGCCCUGUUAUUAUGAGAUAUUCAGCUUUAGGUGCCAGAAUUCUUCUCAGUAGUCAAAGGAAGUCAUCAGAGCUUUUUUUUUUUUUUUUUUAGAGCUUUUGUUUUUAAGAAAAUAAUUAUAUAAUGAAGUAAAAUGACAAAGCCCUAUUUAUUUCUAGCCAAUUAUUUUAAAGGUCAAAGAUGGGUGCAUCAUAUCACAAUUCCUAGAACUAUUUUUUUCCUUCAAAGAUUGAUUUACGUAUUUUAGAGAGAGGGAGCAAGGGUGUAACAGCAAGAGUGGGUGGGGCAUAGGGAGAGGGAGAGUCCCGAGCAGACUCCGUACUGACCAUGGAGCCAGACUAAGGGCUCAAUCUCAUAAUCCUGAGAUUAGGACCCUGAGGUCAUGAGUGGAAACCACGAGUCAAAUGCUCAGCUGAUUGUGCCAUGCAGGCACCCGUCUUAUAACUGUUUUGAUUAUGAUUUCCUGGAGAUUUUAGGACCUGUGGUAUCUACAAACUAGCCUCUCAGGUAUUUAGCAUAACUGUAUCAAAAGUUUAUUUUGAGUCUGUUUCUACUGAAUAAAAUCUGAUGUAUGCUG